CAAGAAUAGAAUGGACUACUUGGAAAAUU
Molecule: non-coding RNA, 29 nt
Filed under: Mus musculus (house mouse)
Lineage: Eukaryota; Metazoa; Chordata; Mammalia; Rodentia; Muridae
Source: RNAcentral